This 443-nucleotide ribosomal RNA is filed under the name uncultured bacterium. RNAcentral's name for it is "partial 16S ribosomal RNA". It matches the Rfam family "Bacterial small subunit ribosomal RNA", at positions 338 to 795 of the family's 1533-position model. The record is from RNAcentral.
CCUACGGGAGGCAGCAGUGGGGAAUAUUGGGCAAUGGGCGCAAGCCUGACCCAGCAACGCCGCGUGAAGGAAGAAGGCCCUCGGGUUGUAAACUUCUUUUAACAGGGACGAAGAAAGUGACGGUACCUGUUGAAUAAGCCACGGCUAACUACGUGCCAGCAGCCGCGGUAAUACGGAGGGUGCGAGCGUUAAUCGGAAUUACUGGGCGUAAAGCGCUCGUAGGCGGUAUGUCAAGUCAAGGGUGAAAUCCCCGCGCUCAACGUGGGAACUGCCUUUGAAACUGGCAAACUGGAGUGUGUGAGAGGAUAGUGGAAUGCCAGGUGUAGGAGUGAAAUCCGUAGAUAUCUGGAGGAACAUCAGUGGCGAAGGCGACUAUCUGGCACAUAACUGACGCUGAGGAGCGAAAGCGUGGGUAGCAAACAGGAUUAGAUACCCUAGUAGUC